GACAGACCCAUCCGAUAGAAGAUGUCCCUGAGGUGGGGCGGACCUUGCUUAGCAUCAGGAAGUCGUCCUUCUUUUGGGCAAACUGAAGAGUCCCUUCUACCCGGUACGAAGUCAAUAGUGGGUCCUCCAGUUACCUCGACAGCUACUACUCCAGCAAGCUGAUAAAGGUCUGCAUAGGUAAUCCUCGAAUGUUUUGCCUUCACUGGCUCACAAAGAUUUAUAGCUAUUUUUAGGCCAGCAUUAGCACCAUGGUUCAAUUCUUCCUCAAACCUAAUUGAACCAUUUGGACCACCUGUUUUUGUGUUUA
RNAcentral lists this unclassified non-coding RNA (307 nucleotides) under Hevea brasiliensis (rubber tree). Lineage: Eukaryota; Viridiplantae; Streptophyta; Magnoliopsida; Malpighiales; Euphorbiaceae. The record is from RNAcentral.